GACGAACGCUGGCGGCGUGCUUAACACAUGCAAGUCGAGCGGUAAGGCCCUUUCGGGGGUACACGAGCGGCGAACGGGUGAGUAACACGUGGGUGACCUGCCCUUAGCUCUGGGAUAAGCCUGGGAAACUGGGUCUAAUACCGGAUAUGACUCCAUGACGCAUGUUGUGGGGUGGAAAGCCUUGUGCGGCUGGAGAUGGGCCCGCGGCCUAUCAGCUUGUUGGUGGGGUGAUGGCCUACCAAGGCGA
Molecule: ribosomal RNA, 247 nt
Filed under: uncultured Actinomycetes bacterium
Lineage: Bacteria; Bacillati; Actinomycetota; Actinomycetes
Description: uncultured actinobacterium partial 16S ribosomal RNA
Rfam family: Bacterial small subunit ribosomal RNA
Source: RNAcentral